This 375-nucleotide non-coding RNA is filed under the name Tetrahymena thermophila. Its description in RNAcentral is "Group I intron, 5 prime fragment from Tetrahymena thermophila (PDB 7R6L, chain A)". The stretch from base 14 to 322 matches the Rfam family "Group I catalytic intron". From Rfam's summary of the family: Group I catalytic introns are large self-splicing ribozymes. Lineage: Eukaryota; Ciliophora; Oligohymenophorea; Hymenostomatida; Tetrahymenidae. The record is from RNAcentral.
GGCCGGGUGGAGGGAAAAGUUAUCAGGCAUGCACCUGGUAGCUAGUCUUUAAACCAAUAGAUUGCAUCGGUUUAAAAGGCAAGACCGUCAAAUUGCGGGAAAGGGGUCAACAGCCGUUCAGUACCAAGUCUCAGGGGAAACUUUGAGAUGGCCUUGCAAAGGGUAUGGUAAUAAGCUGACGGACAUGGUCCUAACCACGCAGCCAAGUCCUAAGUCAAGGAUGGUUCUUGAUAUGGAUGCAGUUCACAGACUAAAUGUCGGUCGGGGAAGAGAACCAUCCUCUUCUCAUAAGAUAUAGUCGGACCUCUCCUUAAUGGGAGCUAGCGGAUGAAGUGAUGCAACACUGGAGCCGCUGGGAACUAAUUUGUAUGCGAA